RNAcentral lists this transfer RNA (77 nucleotides) under Variovorax sp. SRS16. Its description in RNAcentral is "tRNA-Asp". It matches the Rfam family "tRNA". From Rfam's summary of the family: Transfer RNA (tRNA) molecules are approximately 80 nucleotides in length. Their secondary structure includes four short double-helical elements and three loops (D, anti-codon, and T loops). Further hydrogen bonds mediate the characteristic L-shaped molecular structure. tRNAs have two regions of fundamental functional importance: the anti-codon, which is responsible for specific mRNA codon recognition, and the 3' end, to which the tRNAs corresponding amino acid is attached (by aminoacyl-tRNA synthetases). tRNAs cope with the degeneracy of the genetic code in two manners: having more than one tRNA (with a specific anti-codon) for a particular amino acid; and 'wobble' base-pairing, i.e. permitting non-standard base-pairing at the 3rd anti-codon position. Lineage: Bacteria; Pseudomonadati; Pseudomonadota; Betaproteobacteria; Burkholderiales; Comamonadaceae. RNAcentral also lists the same sequence under 2 other names. The record is from RNAcentral.
GGACUAGUAGCUCAGCUGAGAAGAGCAACCGCCUGUCCAGCGGUAGGUCGUGGGUUCGAGCCCCAUCUAGUCCGCCA